Long non-coding RNA from Cotesia glomerata, 1292 nucleotides. RefSeq lists it as uncharacterized. NCBI's taxonomy places the organism in Eukaryota, Metazoa, Arthropoda, Insecta, Hymenoptera, Braconidae. The record is from RefSeq and is a predicted model, not a curated record. The transcript has 2 exons.
UGAACAAAAAUCAACAAUAUGAAACUCAACAUUACACAAUCGAACUCAUUCAUUUUCAUACAUUUUGUAAGAUAUCAAUGUCGAGAAUACUUUUGUGCGUCGGUUUUAAAAAUGUUCUUGUCGCUCUGAAACAACAUAUCGAAAAUUCUAGUUUUAUUUUACACGGAAAAAAAUUGUUCGACAAUGUUGACUGAUAAAAAUUUGAAAAGAUUUAUUUAUUAAAAAACAUUAUAAAAGUAUAAAACUUUAAAAAGUGCCUAAAGUUGCUAUACAGCAAGCUCAACGAUACAGAUGGAAAAAAAGCAACAAUACUAUCAUACGAGUGAGAAAUACUUUUACCCCCUAAUCUUGAUAAUAAAUCUUCAAAAAAAUGGCAAUUUUAAAAUCCGCAGUUGCGCAAUAAUAAAUAUAAAAUUUUGGUGUAGUAUCUCGAAUUUUUUACUCAAUCUAAUACUAAUUAUUUAUCUGUUACAUAAUUUUUUUCCGUGUAAAUAUAAUGAUUUUUAAAAUGGAUAAAAAUAAUCGAAAUUUUAAAAUUAUUUUGAAACAAUAUUUCUUUUGUCAGACAAAAUAGGCCGGCAUUUUGUUUCUAUUAAUACACUAAAACGAGUAUAUAGUAUAAUUGUAUUGCUUUGAAUUUAUUCAUACAUAUUUCUGUAAUCAUUAAUCAUGAACACAUUUUUUAGUUAUCUAAUUCCUAACAAAGAUAUUUACUUCCAUUUAUUCAUUCACGAUAAUCGCACAUUUAUCAUUCAGUGAAAAAAAAAAAAAAAAAGGUAUACAAAUCAUUUUAUAAUUCAUUAUUUGUGUAUUUAUGUCAGUGUAUGUCGCGAUAUUUACAAAUAAUCUACAUAACAGCACGUAUAUAAAUGUAAACGCAAAAAGAAACCAAGCCGCAAAUCGCGCGAUUUAUGUGGUAUAAAAAGUCAACCAGUGUGUUUUUUAUUAGUUUUAAAAUUAACUAGAUUUUAGAGCAAAGUAAAAUACUUAUUAUUAUCAUCAUUAUACACGGAAAAAUGAGCAAUCGCUUGACUCUACCGAAAAUAUCGGUUUUAAUAAUUUAAAAGUACAGAUUCGAAGUCAAUUAAAAAUAAGCUCAUCGUUAUACCAAGAUUAUAAAUUCACCUCUUGAAAAAAUUAAAAUUGGUUGUAGGAGCUCAAAGCGACGAACGAGACUUUGAAGAGCCUCCAGACCCAGCUGGAACUGGCUUAUGCCUCGACAGCCUCAUCCGGGGCACCUGUUGCCGGAAGCGGGAUCAUCAGUGGUCUCGGAGAUUACGGGGGAUUGUUAA